RNAcentral lists this ribosomal RNA (398 nucleotides) under uncultured bacterium. RNAcentral's name for it is "bacterial SSU rRNA". It matches the Rfam family "Bacterial small subunit ribosomal RNA", at positions 361 to 776 of the family's 1533-position model. The record is from RNAcentral.
AUAUUGGACAAUGGGCGAAAGCCUGAUCCAGCCAUGCCGCGUGGAUGAUGAAGGCCCUAGGGUUGUAAAGUCCUUUCGACGGGGAAGAUAAUGACGGUAACCGGAGAAGAAGCCCCGGCUAACUUCGUGCCAGCAGCCGCGGUAAUACGAAGGGGGCUAGCGUUGUUCGGAAUUACUGGGCGUAAAGCGCACGUAGGCGGACAUUUAAGUCAGGGGUGAAAUCCCGCAGCUCAACUGCGGAACUGCCUUUGAUACUGGGUGUCUAGAGUAUGGAAGAGGUAAGUGGAAUUGCGAGUGUAGAGGUGAAAUUCGUAGAUAUUCGCAGGAACACCAGUGGCGAAGGCGGCUUACUGGUCCAUUACUGACGCUGAGGUGCGAAAGCGUGGGGAGCAAACAGG